RNAcentral lists this ribosomal RNA (253 nucleotides) under uncultured bacterium. RNAcentral describes it as "partial 16S ribosomal RNA". It matches the Rfam family "Bacterial small subunit ribosomal RNA", at positions 524 to 776 of the family's 1533-position model. The record is from RNAcentral.
UACAGAGGGGGCAAGCGUUAUUCGGAAUUAUUGGGCGUAAAGGGCGCGUAGGCGGCUUGGCAAGUGGAAGGUGAAAUCCCUCGGCUUAACCGAGGAACUGCCCUCCAAACUGCUUCGCUUGAGACCGGGAGAGGUGAGUGGAAUUCCCAGUGUAGCGGUGAAAUGCGUAGAUAUUGGGAGGAACACCAGUGGCGAAGGCGGCUCACUGGACCGUUGUUGACGCUGAGGUGCGAAAGCGUGGGGAGCAAACAGG